GAUGAAGAACGCAGCGAAAUGCGAUACUUGGUGUGAAUUGCAGAAUCCCGUGAACCAUCGAGUCUUUGAACGCAAGUUGCGCCCGAAGCCAUUAGGCCGAGGGCACGCCUGCCUGGGCGUCACACGUCGUUGCCCCCCCAUCUACUCCUUCGGGAUUGCGGGGGGCGGAUGAUGGCCUCCCGUGCGCCUCGUCGCGCGGUUGGCAUAAAUGCCAAGUCCUCGGCGACACACGCCACGACAAUCGGUGGUUGCGAAACCUCGGUUGCCCGUCGUGUGCGGUCGUCGCGCAUCGAGGGCUCGAAAAAAUUGCCGGGCUCCGGCUCGGCUUUCAACGCGACCCCAGGUCAGGCGGGGUUACCCGCUGAAUUUAAGCAUAUCAAUAAGCGGGGA
This 390-nucleotide unclassified non-coding RNA is filed under the name soil metagenome. RNAcentral's name for it is "partial contains 5.8S ribosomal RNA, internal transcribed spacer 2, and large subunit ribosomal RNA". The stretch from base 1 to 122 matches the Rfam family "5.8S ribosomal RNA", at positions 35 to 154 of the family's 154-position model. The record is from RNAcentral.